RNAcentral lists this unclassified non-coding RNA (200 nucleotides) under uncultured fungus. RNAcentral describes it as "sequence contains ITS1". Lineage: Eukaryota; Fungi. The record is from RNAcentral.
GAAAUGCGAUACGUAAUGUGAAUUGCAGAAUUCAGUGAAUCCUGCAUCAGUCUGCCUAAAAAACAGAUUAUUACCUUUGCUGCAGCUAACAUAAAGGAGAUGAGUUCUUGUGCUGACUGAUGCAGGAUUCACAGAGACAGCUUUGCGGCUGACUUUGUAAACUCGAUCUCAAAUCAAGUAAGACUACCCGCUGAACUUAA